Molecule: non-coding RNA, 29 nt
Filed under: Homo sapiens (human)
Lineage: Eukaryota; Metazoa; Chordata; Mammalia; Primates; Hominidae
Source: RNAcentral
UACAAGAUGAGAGGGCUGGACCAGAUGGA